This is a long non-coding RNA of Erinaceus europaeus (western European hedgehog), 563 nucleotides long. RefSeq lists it as uncharacterized. Lineage: Eukaryota; Metazoa; Chordata; Mammalia; Eulipotyphla; Erinaceidae. The transcript has 3 exons. The record is from RefSeq and is a predicted model, not a curated record.
CCCAGGCUUCUAUGGUAUACUUUUCUUACCCCUGCGCAAAAAUAUGAAGAUCUGUGGAUUAACUGGGUGCUGCGGGAAGUGGAGGCGCCACUGGCAAUGUGAGCAUCGUCGUUAAAGGCGGAAAUUUAGGACGAGGUUUAACCCAGUGCAUCUGGACCGCAGGUAUGCUCCCUACCUACCCCCAGUAUGAGGGGCAGUGCUCCCAUGAUGGUUAAGAGAUUUGACAGAGCCAGAAGAGUGGCCUAGAAACGCCUCCAUCUGCACUUAGGCAAUUACAAAGUGCGUGGUUCAGCCCUUUGAAUGCAUACAACAUGGUGAAAGACCCUGCCGGGGACAUGAAUGCACAUUAAAGGGUGCAUUUGCUUCGAGAAGCAGCCUUGCAGCUCAUCCAAUGUUUGAAGAAAUGAUUCGGCUAUUCCCUUCUUAAGUAUAUACCCAAGAAUGCAAACAUAUGGCCUUGGAAAUGUCACAGAUGUUCAUAGCAGCAUUUUCAUAAUUGCUUCCAAAAUGGAAACAUCCCAAAUAUCAAUUAAUGAAUAAAAAUGUGGAAUAUCCAAUCAAUA